GGAAGUGUGAUGUAGUGGUUUGAGCACUGGACUAUGACUCUGGAGACCAGGGUUUGAAUCCCUGCUCAGCUA
Molecule: transfer RNA, 72 nt
Filed under: Phrynosoma platyrhinos (Desert horned lizard)
Lineage: Eukaryota; Metazoa; Chordata; Lepidosauria; Squamata; Phrynosomatidae
Description: tRNA-OTHER
Source: RNAcentral